Non-coding RNA from Nothobranchius furzeri (turquoise killifish), 1475 nucleotides. The record is from RefSeq and is a predicted model, not a curated record. NCBI's taxonomy places the organism in Eukaryota, Metazoa, Chordata, Actinopteri, Cyprinodontiformes, Nothobranchiidae.
GCCUUGCUACCCCUGCUGCCACCCCAGCUGGCAGCUGUAAAUUCAAUAAUUGUGGCAUUACAAACGUUAAAGGAGACAUAACAUGAAAAACCCACUUUUUUAUCCAUUAACACAGUGUGUUUCACAUUUUAAGUGUCUAAGUGAGCAAAAAGGCUUAUAUUAUUCACUGGAGUUGCUAUUUAGAUAUUUAAUAAUUAAGUUUUGGGCAUAUUUGUCCACCCGUUCAGUUUUUACAUAAUCUAUUACAUCAGUAAUUAAUUUAGUGAGGAUAACUACCAAAUAUGGUAAUGGCCCUCGGCUAAACACAGAGCCAAUCCGCCAUUUUUUCUUCUCGCUAAGAUGUUUUGUAGUCCUAUUGGAAAAAUGCAGAAUGCCUGGUUAUUUUAGCCACACACAGCUCAAAACUGUUCCUCGUUUUAAGGAAGGGUGGUGUGGCAGUAUUUAAACCCAGGAGCUGAUGACACUACUGCUAAAAAAAACAGAAGAAAAAGUAGUGUGUUUGUGUUUGUGCUUGUGUGUGUGUGUGUGUGCGCGCGCGCGCGGUUCGUUCUUUCGUGUCUUCAGGCUAGUAAGUACUGAGGGCUUCAUCUAUCAAAAAGGAGUCAUUUUUAUCUGAAUGUGGCAGCACCGGGACACAGCAGCAGAGCGAAUAUGACGAUGACAUCAUGGAACUGGUCUUUGGAAAAGUUUUCCCUGAACCAACUCCGUUUCUAGAUGAGGUAGAGAAGAUCUGCAUCUCACCAACUCUCUGGUCUCAGUAUUCAGACAACGGAGGUCUCCCACUGUUAUCCAGGACCAGUUUGAAGCCCACAUACUGCCCCUCCCUCAUCAUCAGGAAACAUCAAUCCGUAUCCUGAGGACAACAGAAGACGGCAGGAGGACAGGAACUCUGAGACCUAGACACCACCAGCACCGAGACACAAAUUACCUGUGUGCACAAGCCUGUUUAACUACUAAAGCCUGUUUAACUACUAAAGCCUGUUUAUUAUAUUGUUCUACUUAUUUGCUGUGAGGUUAAUACUUAGAAAAUUUGUAUAUUAAUGUAAACAAUUUUAAAAAAAUCACUGAUUGUAUGUUUUCUUUUAGAUGUAAUGGUCCAAACUCAGCCUUGUAGACAUUUAUUGCAUCCUGUAGGUAAAUACACAGAACAGGCUUAGGUCCAGGAUGACCCAGCAUGCUCUUCUUCCAUUCUGGCUGUUAGGGAUUUUAUCAAUAACUCAAUGCCUACUGAUGUUUUCACUUAACGGUAUUUAUUUAGAAUGCAGGUAAGAUUUAACUAUAUUUGUUAGCAAAGCAGACUGAUCUUGGGAAUUUCACUGCAGCACUGAUGUCCACCUCUCUGUACACAUUAGAGAGAAUUACCACUUUACAGCUAAACACAUUUAAUAAAGAUAUAGGCUACGCAUUGCAGACAAUAAAAACAAAGUUGUAAGCAUUAGAAUUAUAACGAUCACAUUAAAGAACAUUUGGAGGAA